UACAGAGGGGGCAAGCGUUGUUCGGAAUUACUGGGCGUAAAGGGCGCGUAGGCGGCCUUCUAAGUCGAACGUGAAAUCCCCGGGCUCAACCCGGGAACUGCGUCCGAUACUGGAAGGCUUGAAUCCGGGAGAGGGGUGCGGAAUUCCAGGUGUAGCGGUGAAAUGCUUAGAUAUGACAUAGAACACCAAUUGCGCAGGCAGCUUACUACACAGUAAUUGACACUGAGGCACGAAAGCGUGGGGAUCAAACAGG
Molecule: ribosomal RNA, 253 nt
Filed under: uncultured bacterium
Lineage: Bacteria
Description: partial 16S ribosomal RNA
Rfam family: Bacterial small subunit ribosomal RNA
Source: RNAcentral